UUAUGAGUAAAUUCUGUUAGGGUCUGCUAUUUAUAUGGUUCACUAAUCACAAUGCUAAUCCACAUUAGGCUUGGUUAAUUAAAAUUAGUGAGUUAUGAAGUGGAUUGCAAAAAUGCCAAAGUGAGCUUGCAUGGCCAUGUAGCACGUACCAAAUCUCAUGCAAUGCUUGGAUUUCACUUAAAAACAAUCAAUAUUCAUCAUGGAAAGGUUAAUUUGCU
This 218-nucleotide long non-coding RNA is filed under the name Lathyrus oleraceus (garden pea). Its description in RNAcentral is "Pisum sativum (pea) long non-coding RNA (PSAT_LNC026811)". Lineage: Eukaryota; Viridiplantae; Streptophyta; Magnoliopsida; Fabales; Fabaceae. The record is from RNAcentral.